Long non-coding RNA from Bombus huntii, 562 nucleotides. RefSeq lists it as uncharacterized. The record is from RefSeq and is a predicted model, not a curated record. NCBI's taxonomy places the organism in Eukaryota, Metazoa, Arthropoda, Insecta, Hymenoptera, Apidae. The transcript is spliced from 3 exons.
CUGCCAUUUCUCCAGUAUGUCUACACACUGAAAUAUUCACCAAUGAUAAAAGCCAUACGCUUAAAGGGGCGAUUGAACAGAAGAACGCACAAGAUACAUCGUAUGUCCUUAUUUUCCUAUUUUCUACAAAACUCGGCACACCGUUAGUAAUUGACCAAAAGUCACAUGGAUCAACUCAGCAGAGUAAAAGAAGAUGACGAUAUUCUCUUAAAUGUUCCUUGCAUUUUACCCUCAUGAGCCGAUUACGAAAUUGAGGACUCGACGAAAAGAUGGAGUUGAUCAUUUUGGCUUUGAGAGGUUCGACUAUACCUUUGGCUUCUACAAAAAAACUUCGCCACCUUGUCAAAUUCUUUUCAUCUUCGAUCAUCUUCGACCAGAGCCGUCAAAAUUUCAAUAACAGUGGGUACAUACGUCGCGAGCCAAACUGGAAGCGUCUUCAGCGUGAUGUUUCAGAACUUUGUUGGAUCUUAAGCGAUUUCUGAGGGCGUGAUGAGUGGCGAGGGCAGAUGCGAAUCGACUUUGCACCAGGAGCGUCCGCACCGCUUCGAGUUCCGCUUCCACG